RNAcentral lists this ribosomal RNA (439 nucleotides) under uncultured bacterium. RNAcentral's name for it is "partial 16S ribosomal RNA". It matches the Rfam family "Bacterial small subunit ribosomal RNA", at positions 339 to 795 of the family's 1533-position model. The record is from RNAcentral.
CUACGGGAGGCUGCAGUGAGGAAUAUUGCACAAUGGGGGGAACCCUGAUGCAGCAACGCCGCGUGGAGGAUGACGCAUUUCGGUGUGUAAACUCCUUUUAUAUGUCAAGAAAAUGACGGUAGCAUAUGAAUAAGCACCGGCUAACUCCGUGCCAGCAGCCGCGGUAAUACGGAGGGUGCAAGCGUUACUCGGAAUCACUGGGCGUAAAGGACGCGUAGGCGGGUUGGAAAGUCAGGUGUGAAAUCCUACAGCUUAACUGUAGAACUGCACUUGAAACUUCUAAUCUAGAGUAUGGGAGGGGGAGAUGGAAUUAGUGGUGUAGGGGUAAAAUCCGUAGAUAUCACUAGGAAUACCUAAAGCGAAGGCGAUUUCCUGGAACAUUUCUGACGCUGAGGCGUGAAAGCGUGGGGAGCAAACAGGAUUAGAUACCCGUGUAGUC